CGCCUUGCCAGCCCGCUCAGAAACUUAAAGGAAUUGACGGGGGCCCGCACAAGCGGUGGAGCAUGUGGUUUAAUUCGAUGGUACGCGAGGAACCUUACCAGGGCUUGACAUACGUUGGAAGCGCAUCGAAAGGUGCGUGCCGCUUGCGGCCGGCGUACAGGUGCUGCAUGGCUGUCGUCAGCUCGUGCUGUGAAGUGUUGGGUUAAGUCCCGCAACGAGCGCAACCCUUGUCCUUAGUUACCAGCACGUUAUGGUGGGCACUCUAAGGAGACUGCCGGUGACAAACCGGAGGAAGGUGGGGAUGACGUCAAGUCAUCAUGGCCCUUACGGCCUGGGCUACACACGUGCUACAAUGGUCGGUACAAAGGGUUGCCAAGCCGCGAGGUGGAGCUAAUCCCAUAAAACCGAUCGUAGUCCGGAUCGCAGUCUGCAACUCGACUGCGUGAAGUCGGAAUCGCUAGUAAUCGUGAAUCAGAAUGUCACGGUGAAUACGUUCCCGGGCCUU
RNAcentral lists this ribosomal RNA (505 nucleotides) under uncultured Pseudomonas sp. RNAcentral describes it as "bacterial SSU rRNA". It matches the Rfam family "Bacterial small subunit ribosomal RNA", at positions 903 to 1382 of the family's 1533-position model. The record is from RNAcentral. Lineage: Bacteria; Pseudomonadati; Pseudomonadota; Gammaproteobacteria; Pseudomonadales; Pseudomonadaceae.